Molecule: long non-coding RNA, 1501 nt
Filed under: Citrus x clementina
Lineage: Eukaryota; Viridiplantae; Streptophyta; Magnoliopsida; Sapindales; Rutaceae
Description: Citrus clementina (C. clementina) long non-coding RNA (CCLE_LNC000028)
Source: RNAcentral
CCAAAAAUAACCGCCCGAAGGCCGGGGCGCCAAGUUCGUCCAGCGGAAAAAGGCCACAAAAACGGGUGGGCUAUAGCCUUGGGGGGUGGGGCUGGCGAACUUCGUCUGCCGGACUCGGAAUGGCGCGAGACUUUGCGAGGCCCCUCCGUGUGCCAAAAAUAGGCCGCGGGCACAGCCGCAUCCAAAAAUAACCGCCCGAAGGCCGGGGCGCCAAGUUCGUCCAGCGGAAAAAGGCCACAAAAACGGGUGGGCUAUAGCCUUGGGGGGGGGCUAGCCAACUUCGUCCGCCAGACUUGGAAUGGCGCUAGACUUUAAGAGGCGCCUCCGUGUGCCAAAAAUAGGCCGCGGGCACAGCCGCACCCAAAAAUAACAUCCCGAAGGCCGGGGCGCCAAGUUCGUCCAGCGGAAAAAGGCCACAAAAACGGGUGGGCUAUAGCCUUGGGGGGUGGGGCUGGCGAACUUCGUCUGCCGGACUCGGAAUGGCGCGAGACUUUGCGAGGCCCCUCCGUGUGCCAAAAAUAGGCUGUGACCACAGCCGCGCCCAAAAAUAACCGCCCGAAGGCCGGGGCGCCAAGUUCGUCCAGCGGAAAAAGGCCACAAAAACGGGUGGGCUAUAGCCUUGGGGGGUGGGGCUGGCCAACUUCGUCCGCCGGACUCGGAAUGACGCGAGACAUUGCGAGGCGCCUCCGUGUGCCAAAAAUAUUCCGCGGGCACAGCCGCGCCCAAAAUUAACCGCCCGAAGGCCGGUGUGCCAAGUUCGUCCAGCGGAAAAAGGCCACAAAAAUGGGUGGGCUAUAGCCUUGGGGGGUGGGGCUGGCAAACUUCGUCUGCCGGACUCGGAAUGGCGCGAGACUUUGCGAGGCCCCUCCGUGUGCCAAAAAUAGGCCGCGCGCACAGCCGCGCCCAAAAAUAACCUCCCGAAGGCCGGGGCGCCAAGUUCGUCCAGCGGAAAAAGGCCACAAAAACGGGUGGGCUAUAGCCUUGGGGGGGGGGCUAGCCAACUUCGUCCGCCAGGCUUGGAAUGGCGCUAGACUUUAAGAGGCGCCUCUGUGUGCCAAAAAUAGGCCGCGGGCACAGCCGAACCCAAAAACAACAUCCCGAAGGCCGGGGCGCCAAGUUCGUCCAGCGGAAAAAGGCCACAAAAACGGGUGGGCUAUAGCCUUGGGGGGUGGGGCUAGCCAACUUCGUCCGCCAAGACUUGGAAUGCCGCUAGACUUUAAGAGGGGCUUCCGUGUGCCAAAAUAGGCCGCGGGCACAGCCGCGCCCAAAAAUAACCGCCCGAAGGCCGGGGCGCCAAGUUCGUCCAGCGGAAAAAGGCCACAAAAACGGGUGGGCUAUAGCCUUGGGGGGGGGCUAGCCAACUUCGUCCGCCAGACUUGGAAUGGCUCUAGACUUUAAGAGGCGCCUCCGUGUGCCAAAAAUAGGCCGCGGGCACAGCCGCACCCAAAAAUACCCGCCCGAAGGCCGCGGCGCCAAGUUCGUCCAGCGGAAAAAGCCCACA